GACGAACCGAGCGAACGUUGUUCGGAAUCACUGGGCUUAAAGGGCGCGUAGGCGGGUGCUCAAGUCCGGGGGGAAAUCCUCCAGCUCAACUGGAGAACUGCCUCGGAUACUGGGUGCCUCGAGGGUGGUAGGGGUAUGCGGAACUAUCGGUGGAGCGGUGAAAUGCGUUGAUAUCGAUAGGAACUCCGGUGGCGAAGGCGGCAUACUGGACCACUUCUGACGCUGAGGCGCGAAAGCCAGGGGAGCAAACGGG
RNAcentral lists this ribosomal RNA (253 nucleotides) under uncultured bacterium. RNAcentral describes it as "partial 16S ribosomal RNA". It matches the Rfam family "Bacterial small subunit ribosomal RNA", at positions 524 to 776 of the family's 1533-position model. The record is from RNAcentral.